Molecule: transfer RNA, 58 nt
Filed under: Azima tetracantha
Lineage: Eukaryota; Viridiplantae; Streptophyta; Magnoliopsida; Brassicales; Salvadoraceae
Description: partial tRNA-Phe
Source: RNAcentral
GUCGGGAUAGCUCAGUGGAGAGCAGAGGAAAAAAAAUCCUCGUGUCACCAGUUCAAAU